CCAAGGCUAAAUACUCCCUAGUGACCGAUAGUGAACCAGUACCGUGAGGGAAAGGUGAAAAGCACCCCGGGAGGGGAGUGAAAGAGAACCUGAAACCGUGUGCCUACAAGUAGUCGGAGCCCGUUAACGGGUGACGGCGUGCCUUUUGUAGAAUGAACCGGCGAGUUACGAUCCCGUGCAAGGUUAAGCCGAAGAGGCGGAGCCGCAGCGAAAGCGAGUCUGAACAGGGCGAAUGAGUACGUGGUCGUAGACCCGAAACCGAGUGAUCUACCCAUGUCCAGGGUGAAGUCCAGGUAACACUGGAUGGAGGCCCGAACCCACGCGUGUUGAAAAACGCGGGGAUGAGGUGUGGGUAGGGGUGAAAUGCCAAUCGAACUCGGAGAUAGCUGGUUCUCCCCGAAAUAGCUUUAGGGCUAGCCUCAAGUGUUAGAGUCCUGGAGGUAGAGCACUGAUUGGACUAGGGGCCCUCACCGGGUUACCGAAUUCAGUCAAACUCCGAAUGCCAGAGACUUAUCCUUGGGAGUCAGACUGCGAGUGAUAAGAUCCGUAGUCGAAAGGGAAACAGCCCAGACCGCCAGCUAAGGUCCCAAAGUAUACGUUAAGUGGAAAAGGAUGUGGAGUUGCACAGACAACCAGGAUGUUGGCUUAGAAGCAGCCACCAUUUAAAGAGUGCGUAAUAGCUCACUGGUCGAGUGACUCUGCGCCGAAAAUGUACCGGGGCUAAACGUAUCACCGAAGCUGCGGAUUGACACCGAUGGUGUCAGUGGUAGGGGAGCGUUCUAAGGGCUGAGAAGCAGGACCGGAAGGACCUGUGGAGCGCUUAGAAGUGAGAAUGCCGGUAUGAGUAGCGAAAAGACAAGUGAGAAUCUUGUCCACCGAAAGCCUAAGGUUUCCUGAGGAAGGCUCGUCCGCUCAGGGUUAGUCGGGACCUAAGCCGAGGCCGAAAGGCGUAGGCGAUGGACAACAGGUUGAUAUUCCUGUACCACCUCCUCACCGUUUGAGCAAUGGGGGGACGCAGGAAGGUAGGGUAAGCGCGCUGUCGGAUAUGCGCGUCCAAGCAGUGAGGCCGAUGGAUAGGCAAAUCCGUCCAUCAUGCGGCUGAGCUGUGACGGCGAGGGAAAUAGAGUACCGAAGUUCCCGAUCCUACACUGCCAAGAAAAGCCUCUAGCGAGGUGAGAGGUGCCCGUACCGCAAACCGACACAGGUAGGCGAGGAGAGAAUCCUAAGGUGCUCGGGAGAACUCUCGUUAAGGAACUCGGCAAAAUGACCCCGUAACUUCGGGAGAAGGGGUGCUCCUGCGGGUGCAAGCCUGCGGGAGCCGCAGUGAAAAGGCCCAAGCGACUGUUUAGCAAAAACACAGGUCUCUGCGAAGCCGUAAGGCGAAGUAUAGGGGCUGACACCUGCCCGGUGCUGGAAGGUUAAGAGGAGGGGUUAUCCUUAUGGAGAAGCUCUGAAUCGAAGCCCCAGUAAACGGCGGCCGUAACUAUAACGGUCCUAAGGUAGCGAAAUUCCUUGUCGGGUAAGUUCCGACCCGCACGAAAGGUGCAACGACUUGGGCACUGUCUCAACGAGAGACCCGGUGAAAUUAUACUAUGCGUGAAGAUGCGCAUUACCCGCGACAGGACGGAAAGACCCCGUGGAGCUUUACUGCAGCCUGAUAUUGAAUUUUGGUACAGCUUGUACAGGAUAGGCAGGAGCCUUGGAAGCCGGAGCGCCAGCUUCGGUGGAGGCGCUGGUGGGAUACUGCCCUGGCUGUAUUGAAAUUCUAACCCAGGACCGUGAUCCGGUUCGGAGACAGUGUCAGGCAGGCAGUUUGACUGGGGCGGUCGCCUCCUAAAGAGUAACGGAGGCGCCCAAAGGUUCCCUCAGAAUGGUUGGAAAUCAUUCGCAGAGUGUAAAGGCACAAGGGAGCUUGACUGCGAGACCUACAAGUCGAGCAGGGACGAAAGUCGGGCUUAGUGAUCCGGUGGUUCCGCAUGGAAGGGCCAUCGCUCAACGGAUAAAAGCUACCCCGGGGAUAACAGGCUUAUCUCCCCCAAGAGUCCACAUCGACGGGGAGGUUUGGCACCUCGAUGUCGGCUCAUCGCAUCCUGGGGCUGUAGUCGGUCCCAAGGGUUGGGCUGUUCGCCCAUUAAAGCGGUACGCGAGCUGGGUUCAGAACGUCGUGAGACAGUUCGGUCCCUAUCCGUCGCGGGCGCAGGAAAUUUGAGAGGAGCUGUCCUUAGUACGAGAGGACCGGGAUGGACACACCGCUGGUGUACCAGUUGUCUUGCCAAAGGCAUCGCUGGGUAGCUACGUGUGGAAGGGAUAAGUGCUGAAAGCAUCUAAGCAUGAAGCCCCCCUCAAGAUGAGAUUUCCCACAGCGUCAGGCUGGU
Molecule: ribosomal RNA, 2375 nt
Filed under: Bacillus marinisedimentorum
Lineage: Bacteria; Bacillati; Bacillota; Bacilli; Caryophanales; Bacillaceae
Description: bacterial LSU rRNA
Rfam family: Bacterial large subunit ribosomal RNA
Source: RNAcentral